GGAGGAAAGCAGGGGAUCGAAAGACCUUAUGCUUUUGGAGCGGCCGAUGUCUGAUUAGCUAGUUGGUGAGGUAAAGGCUUACCAAGGCGACGAUCAGUAGUUGGUCUGAGAGGACGACCAGCCACACUGGGACUGAGACACGGCCCAGACUCCUACGGGAGGCAGCAGUGGGGAAUUUUGGACAAUGGGCGCAAGCCUGAUCCAGCAAUGCCGUGUGAGUGAAGAAGGCCUUCGGGUUGUAAAGCUCUUUCAGUCGAGAAGAAAAGGUUGUGAUUAAUACUCACAAUCCAUGACGGUAUCGACAGAAGAAGCACCGGCUAACUACGUGCCAGCAGCCGCGGUAAUACGUAGGGUGCGAGCGUUAAUCGGAAUUACUGGGCGUAAAGGGUGCGCAGGCGGCUCUGUAAGUCAGAUGUGAAAUCCCCGGGCUUAACCUGGGAAUUGCGUUUGAAACUACAAAGCUAG
RNAcentral lists this ribosomal RNA (465 nucleotides) under uncultured ammonia-oxidizing bacterium. RNAcentral's name for it is "bacterial SSU rRNA". It matches the Rfam family "Bacterial small subunit ribosomal RNA", at positions 198 to 644 of the family's 1533-position model. The record is from RNAcentral.